RNAcentral lists this unclassified non-coding RNA (240 nucleotides) under soil metagenome. Its description in RNAcentral is "partial contains 5.8S ribosomal RNA, internal transcribed spacer 2, and large subunit ribosomal RNA". The record is from RNAcentral.
AACCAUAGAAACCUGCGGAGUACCUGCGGAAGGAUCAUUAAAAAAAAUGAAGCCGGCCCCUAAAAAAGGCUGGCAUUCAUAAAUCCUCAACACCCUAUGUGCACUUAUCGAACCUUUUUGCUUUGGCAGGAAGAAAUUCCUGCCAGAGGUAUCCCAUCAAAACCUGAUUGUUUUGACUGACCUUUUUUAUCAAAUACAAAAAUUGAUACAACUUUCAACAAUGGAUCUCAGAUCGGAAGA